RNAcentral lists this ribosomal RNA (435 nucleotides) under uncultured bacterium. RNAcentral's name for it is "partial 16S ribosomal RNA". It matches the Rfam family "Bacterial small subunit ribosomal RNA", at positions 29 to 507 of the family's 1533-position model. The record is from RNAcentral.
AACGAACGCUGGCGGCAUGCCUAACACAUGCAAGUCGAACGAUUGCCUUCGGGUGAUAGUGGCGCACGGGUGCGUAACGCGUGGGAAUCUGUCCUUAGGUUCGGAAUAACAGCUGGAAACGGCUGCUAAAACCGGAUGAUAUCGCGAGAUCAAAGAUUUAUCGCCUGAGGAUGAGCCCGCGUUGGAUUAGGUAGUUGGUGGGGUAAAGGCCUACCAAGCCGACGAUCCAUAGCUGGUCUGAGCGGAUGAUCAGCCACACUGGGACUGAGACACGGCCCAGACUCCUACGGGAGGCAGCAGUGGGGAAUAUUGGACAAUGGGCGCAAGCCUGAUCCAGCAAUGCCGCGUGAGUGAUGAAGGCCCUAGGGUUGUAAAGCUCUUUUACCCGGGAAGAUAAUGACUGUACCGGGAGAAUAAGCCCCGGCUAACUCCGUG